ACUAACAGCUCUUGCUAACUCCUGUUCCAGGCUGUUUAUCUGGGCCUCCAAGUACCCUGCUUGCGCCUGGAGGUCUCUCACCCCCAGGUCCUGCUCAAAGCUGUGCACUUGGGCCCCCAGGCAUGCGGCUUGCUCCGGAAGGUCCCUUACCUGUGGCACUGAGCAUGUACUUCCUGCAGUGCAGUUAGAAAUGCCCAUCCGACUCUGCUUGCAAAGGCACAGCUGCUUAAAGACUGUUACCGGAAAGGAAUCCUGAUCCAGACGCCAAGAGAGGGUUCUUGGACUCAUGCAAGAAAGACUUCAGAAUACGAGUUUUGAAUUUUUGAAUUGCUGUUAAAACUUUCAUCAUGAACACUGAAGUGAGUGAAAAGAGACUUUUGCAGUCAUUUUUUUGCUGGCUGCAGAUGACAGUGACACCCUGGGAGUUGAGAAAUGCUUGUAAGAUGGAAGGAGGCUGUGUCCCUGAAUGAUCACCUGGAAGAGAGCCACCUUAGCCAAUGAAACUCCUGCUAUGAAUGUUUGCUGAGCAAGAAAUAUACUUACUGCUUUAUAUGCCUUUGAAGCUAUAGGUUCAUAUUGUUACCACAAUUUAAAGUGCUAUAAUAAAAAGAGUUCAGGAAGCAGGCACAUGGAAGCAAUAAGAGCAACAAACAUUUACACAGUUCUCAGGUCCCUGGACCAUGAAGGGCCACAUCCAAGGAGCUACCCCAGGAGGCCUCUCAUUUGCAUUUGUCCCCGCUAAUGCAGGACAGAGAUCAUGGAAGUUGGGCCCGACUGGAUGAGAUUUGGGGGUCUUUGGAAGUGGAGAAUGUGUUUGCCCUGGGGAAGAGAGGUGAUGUCUAGGAGACCUCUUCACUCAGGGCAAGCUCUAUGACCUGCUUUGACUCCAGAAUGUGGUAGAAGUGGCAUCACAUAAAUUGCAGAGCCUAGGCUUCAAGAGACCUUGCAACUUGCCUCUCACUGACUUGAAGUGCUCCCAUCAGAGCAUCUUGUAAGGAGCAGGUGGAGCAUGUGGACAAGCCAUCCCCACCAGCCCCUGAGACAUGUGAGAGAGGCCAGAACAGGCCAUCCGGACCCCACUGUGCUGGUGGAUGAGACAGCAGAAGGAAUAUCAACCUACCAACAGAAUCCUGAGAAAUGCUCACUCUUACUUCAAGCUGCUGCAUUUUGAUGUUAUGAAACCAUAAAUAACUUAUGAAGUCAUCUUUGCUGACUUAAAGUUUUCCAUAACUUUAUUAUAACAUAUCAAAAUUAUGAAAAAUGUGAAAAGUAGAAAACUGAUGAAUUUUGCUUCUUCAUAUGGUCUUUAAGAAUCUCAAAGGCACUGAAGUUUUUUAUCUUUUCUGUCUUAGAAUAAAAAACCUUGAAUGAAAA
This 1374-nucleotide long non-coding RNA is filed under the name Homo sapiens (human). RNAcentral's name for it is "HSALNT0346801". Lineage: Eukaryota; Metazoa; Chordata; Mammalia; Primates; Hominidae. The record is from RNAcentral.